CUUUGGGGAGCUGAGCUCUGGGGACCCUCUUCACCAUGGCCUGGCCUUUCGUCUUUGUGUCACUGCUCACCUUCUGCUCAGGCUCCCUCUCCCAGCUGGUGCUGACUCAGCCUCCCUCUGUCUCUGCAUCCCUGGGGAGCACAGCCAGACUCACCUGUACUGUGAGCAGUGAGCAUAGUGGUUAUGCUGCUUAUUGGUACCAGCAGAGCCCAGGAAAGGCCCCUCAGUACCUCAUGUGGGUUGACAAUGAUGGAAGUAUAGGCAGGGCUGAUGGGAUCCCUGAGCGCUUCUCUGGCUCCAGCUCUGGGAACAAUCGAUUCCUGUCCAUCAGCAACGUCCAGGCUGAGGAUGAAGCCGAUUAUUACUGUGAGAAUGAUUAUAGCAUUGGUGGUGUUUAUGCUCAUCCACAGUGA
Molecule: non-coding RNA, 413 nt
Organism: Gracilinanus agilis (Agile Gracile Mouse Opossum)
Lineage: Eukaryota; Metazoa; Chordata; Mammalia; Didelphimorphia; Didelphidae
Source: the annotation of a RefSeq genome assembly